CCUACGGGAGGCAGCAGUGGGGAAUAUUGCGCAAUGGGCGAAAGCCUGAUGGAGCGACGCCGCGUGGGGGAUGAAGGGUUUCGAUCCGUAAACCCCUGUCAUUUGCGAACAAACCUUAGGCAAUAAGACUGCCUGAGCUGAUUGUAGUGAAAGAGGAAGGGACGGCUAACUCUGUGCCAGCAGCCGCGGUAAU
RNAcentral lists this ribosomal RNA (193 nucleotides) under uncultured bacterium. RNAcentral's name for it is "partial 16S ribosomal RNA". It matches the Rfam family "Bacterial small subunit ribosomal RNA", at positions 338 to 524 of the family's 1533-position model. The record is from RNAcentral.